Molecule: ribosomal RNA, 807 nt
Filed under: uncultured microorganism
Description: bacterial SSU rRNA
Rfam family: Bacterial small subunit ribosomal RNA
Source: RNAcentral
AGAGUUUGAUCCUGGCUCAGGAUGAACGCUAGCGGCAGGCUUAAUACAUGCAAGUCGAGGGGCAGCACAGGUAGCAAUACUGGGUGGCGACCGGCAAACGGGUGCGGAACACGUACGGAACCUUCCUUUCAGCGGGGGAUAGCCCAGGGAAACUUGGAUUAAUACCCCAUAGGAUUGUAGAGUGGCAUCACUCAGCAAUUAAAGAUUUAUCACUGAAAGAUGGGCGUGCGUAUGAUUAGGUAGUUGGUUGAGGUAACGGCUCACCAAGCCUUCGAUCAUUAACUGGUGUGAGAGCACGACCAGUCACACGGGCACUGAGACACGGGCCCGACUCCUACGGGAGGCAGCAGUAAGGAAUAUUGGUCAAUGGACGCAAGUCUGAACCAGCCAUGCCGCGUGAAGGAUGAAGGUCCUCUGGAUUGUAAACUUCUUUUAUCUGGGACGAAACCCGGGAAUUCUUUCCCGAUUGACGGUACCAGAGGAAUAAGCACCGGCUAACUCCGUGCCAGCAGCCGCGGUAAUACGGAGGGUGCAAGCGUUAUCCGGAUUUACUGGGUUUAAAGGGUGUGUAGGCGGACUUUUAAGUCCGUGGUGAAAUCUCCGGGCUCAACCCGGAAACUGCCAUGGAUACUAUUGGUCUUGAAUAUUGUUGAGGUGGGCGGAACGGGUCAUGUAGCGGUGAAAUGCAUAGAUAUGACCCGGAACACCGAUUGCGAAGGCAGCCCACUAAGCAAUGAUUGACGCUGAGGCCGAAAGCGUGGGGGAUCAAACAGGAUUAGAUACCCCGGUAGUCCAAAUCACUAUGAA